This 546-nucleotide ribosomal RNA is filed under the name uncultured bacterium. RNAcentral's name for it is "bacterial SSU rRNA". It matches the Rfam family "Bacterial small subunit ribosomal RNA", at positions 777 to 1327 of the family's 1533-position model. The record is from RNAcentral.
AAUAGAUACCCGGGUAGUCCACGCCGUAAACGAUGAGUGCUAAGUGUUGGGGGGUUUCCGCCCCUCAGUGCUGCAGCUAACGCAUUAAGCACUCCGCCUGGGGAGUACGGUCGCAAGACUGAAACUCAAAGGAAUUGACGGGGGCCCGCACAAGCGGUGGAGCAUGUGGUUUAAUUCGAAGCAACGCGAUGAACCUUACCAGGUCUUGACAUCCCGGUGACCACUAUGGAGACAUAGUUUCCCCUUCGGGGGCAACGGUGACAGGUGGUGCAUGGUUGUCGUCAGCUCGUGUCGUGAGAUGUUGGGUUAAGUCCCGCAACGAGCGCAACCCUUAUUCUUAGUUGCCAUCAUUCAGUUGGGCACUCUAAGGGGACUGCCGGUGAUAAACCGGAGGAAGGUGGGAUGACGUCAAAUCAUCAUGCCCCUUAUGACCUGGGCUACACACGUGCUACAAUGGACGGUACAAACGGUUGCCAACCGCGAGGGGAGCUAAUCCGAUAAACCGUUCUCAGUUCGAUUGUAGGCUGCAACUCGCUACAUGGAACG